CUGUUGGCCUCCCCGCUUUUGAGGCUUUUGGACUUGGACUGAGCCACUGCGGGCUUCCUUCUUCCUCGGCUUGCAGACGGCCUGCUGUGGAGCUUCACCUUCUGAUCAUAUCCAUAAUGAUUUUUAAAUCGAACACAAACACACUGGCAACUUA
This is a non-coding RNA of Chlorocebus sabaeus (green monkey), 154 nucleotides long. The record is from RefSeq and is a predicted model, not a curated record. Lineage: Eukaryota; Metazoa; Chordata; Mammalia; Primates; Cercopithecidae.